CCUACGGGGGGCAGCAGUAGGGAAUAUUGCACAAUGGGCGAAAGCCUGAUGCAGCAACGCCGCGUGAACGAAGAAGGCUCUUGGGUCGUAAAGUUCUGUUCUGAGGGAAGAAGAAAGUGACGGUACCUCAGGGGAAAGCCCCGGCUAACUACGUGCCAGCAGCCGCGGUAAUACGUAGGGGGCAAGCGUUAUCCGGAUUUACUGGGUGUAAAGGGAGCGUAGACGGCGAUGCAAGUCUGAAGUGAAAGCCCGGGGCUCAACCCCGGGACUGCUUUGGAAACUGUAUGGCUGGAGUGCUGGAGAGG
This 305-nucleotide ribosomal RNA is filed under the name uncultured bacterium. Its description in RNAcentral is "bacterial SSU rRNA". It matches the Rfam family "Bacterial small subunit ribosomal RNA", at positions 338 to 657 of the family's 1533-position model. The record is from RNAcentral.